Long non-coding RNA from Equus asinus (donkey), 4034 nucleotides. The record is from Ensembl. NCBI's taxonomy places the organism in Eukaryota, Metazoa, Chordata, Mammalia, Perissodactyla, Equidae.
CGCGGCCGGGGGCUGAGCCGGGGGAGGCGGAGUGCGGGCCAGCCGGGCGCUGCAGGUCGGCGCGGCGCGGGGCGGGCGGCCGGCGGGCGCGGGGCGGGGCGGGGCGGUGCAGCCGGCGAGGGAGCCCGGAACUCCGCGGGGGCCGAGGGGCCGGCGACCGGCCCCGAGCGGCGGCGGCGGCGGCGGCUGCAGCCGAGCGGCGCGUGGGCCCAGGGGCUUUCCAGCCCUGGGGCCGGCGCGGCUGGCCGGGGAGCAGCCUGGCAGCGGCAGCGGCGGCAGUGGCAGCCACCCCGGGGAAAGAGCCGGGGGAGGGCGGGGAGGCGGGGUGAAGAGGAGGAGGAGGAGAAGGAAGGGGAGGAGGGCGGGCGGAAUAAACUUCCCGAGGCGCUACGGCACGGGCUGAGAGGACAGCCGCGGGCGGGGCGGGCGCGCCGGGUGCGGGCUUGCCCGGGGGCGGCGGGGGAGACGGUCACAGAGAGUCGCAAAGUUCCCCCAGCGCCGAGGGGGAGGCUGCGGUGGCGGCGGCGGCGGCUGCAAAGAGUAGGAGCCGGAGCGGGAGGAGCGGGAGGAGGAGGAGAAGGAAGUGGCUGCGGAGCGCUCGGCCAAUGAGUGUCUGGAGCUGUGAUUAACCAGGCAGCAACACAUCAUUUCCUCCCGGCGCGGAUCCAGGGAGCCGGGAGGGAGAGGGAAGGCGGCGGGGCGGGGCUGGCCCCGCGCCCCCUGCAGGCUCCCGGCCGGGGGCGAGCCCGCCGAGCCCCGCCGAGCCUGACCCGGCCGCCCCCGGCGCGCCCCCGCGCUGUCUGGCUGGCCCGGCGGAGGCCGCGAGCGCGCCGCCCGCAGGGCUCCUCGGGCGGCGGGGAGGCGGCGGGGCAGGCCCGAGCCGGGCUCCCCGCGGCCGGGGUGGGAGGAGGAGAGGCCGCGCGGCGCGGGUGAGUGCCCAGGUAGGGCGCGGGCGGGGCCGUCUGGACAGCUCCCGGGGCACGCGGGGCGGGCGGGCGGGCCGCCUCCCGGGCCCGGGCCUGCGGGCGGCGCGCGGCUGCAGUCCUGCUUGUCCGACUUAGGCUGGCUUCUCCCAGAGCAGCCUCAGCAGUCUCAUCCAGGCCCUUUCUGACCUGCCUUCAAAUCCCCUUCCACUUUGCUCAUUUCCUCGCAAGCUCUGGGGAUCUGUAAAAGCUUGCCACCUUCGCAGUCGGCCUCCUUAGUAAUAAAAAUAUGCGUGGGGGGGCUUCUACAAUAAUCUAGCCCUGUCCUAGGCGCCGUGGGCGCUCACAGUGGCAAGGAAGGAACAUAACCCGCCUCAGAGAGGCUAACAACCUCGGUCCUUAGAUGCACAAAAACACUGCAGAGUGCUAAUGUUAUCCAGAGCAUCAAAAAGGCAUGCGAGGAUCAAAUUUUGCGUGGUGUCUACUAAGUGUAAGGAAAGCACCAAGCCAUUUUCUCUGCCCUCUGGAAGCUUAGAAUGUACAGUCCUAUCACCAAGCAAACUAAAAGCAUGAAACCAAUAAAUGGGAAUACAGUAAAGUAUUUUUAUCUCUACAGGUUCAUUCAUGCAGCAGGCAUUUAUUGGGUGACUGUCUGCAGUACUGCAAAAGGUUGCACAGGAAAUGGAAGAUCUGGUCCCUGCAGCAAUACCCGCAAAAACUUCAAUAAAGCUAAAGGAGAUGCUGAAGAGGAGGAGAAGGUAGCCCAGAAUGGAUCUGUAACUUCCCAGGAAGGAUGUCUCCAAAAUGACAUUUUUAUUGAACGCUUCCUAUCAAAUACUAGAGCAUCCUCCAAAUUGUUCAUGCUUUCCCAAACCCGGAUCCAUGCCUGCGUGGGAAUCAAAAGCCUGCGAUAAGAGCCGCCUUGAGCAAGUCAACCUGACUCCAGCUUUCUCUUGGGUGAAGAGAACACCACAAACACCAGGAUCUCUGGCCAGCUCCCGGACUGUGGAACUUUAUACAUCCUUCGUUUCUCCUGGUGGCCUUCCCCGUAAAUUUAACGUUUAUCUCUCCACCAUGCAGAGAUGCUUGGUGGGCAAUGUGGAGUAUAUUUUUACAGCUUUGGUUUUUCUUUUAACUGUGAAGUUGUCACUAGCCUGCAGGAAAUGCGAUGCCAAAAGGAAGGGGAGUGGAUCCCUUCCAGACCUCUACAACUUUCAGAUUAUACUAAACCAGGAGCAAAAACCCUCUUUAGCAUUUGAAAGGGAAGGCAAUUGUAUUACUAAACCUCACUCAACCGCCUCCAGACUUUACUCAGCCAGAGAACAAAGGGAGAAAAGCAAACAUCACUUCACACCCUUAUUCAGGGGAGGUUAAAAGAGACCUCCCACUAUACAAAAGUCCUCUAAAGGUCAGUUUGGGAGUGUAUUGAGGAGGAAGGCACUGGCCAGGGAACAAAAUGUUUACCAUCACUCUUGGGCAGGCUGCUUCUGUUUUCCUUUCAGCACGUGCAUGGGGUACAUCUGUCAGAAUUGGACAUUUUCAUCCCUGAUUAGCUUGCUGGUGGUCAAAUUAUACUUGCUUGGCCCUCUUCAGUCUUUUUCAGAUUCUUGAUUCCAGUUGCACUAAGAAAGCAGGGCCACCCUGAGCCAAGACAACUCCCUGGUGAUGAUUGUUCAUUUAUAUUCAUCAAGUCAACAGGUAAUCAUUGAACGGGUAACAAGCACUAUACUAGGCGCUGGAAGGAUGGAACAAUGUGAGAGCUGAGGCUGUAGUCUUAGAGCUUCAAUUCAAUGGGAGAAGAAUGACAUUAAACAAUGAAACACACACUUCAUUAUUUAAGUACAACAGUGAUAAAUAUUUGAAGGAGCACACUGUGCCAAGAGAGCUUAACAUGAGAGUGGCCGACUUCACAUGGGCUGUAAGAGAGGGGGUUUCUUUCAGGAACGGAAGGAGUAGGAGUUAGCUGUGAGCCAGGGCAGUUGAGAUUCUGCUGGGUGGGGGUGGGAGCAGCAGGCAAAAACUCUCUGACUGGGAAAAAAUAUGGCCUGGCACAGGAAUUGGAAGAAGACUAACGUGGCUGGAGCCUAGAGGGCAGAAUGGGGCUGGAGACUAGGCAGGAGGGGAACUUCCACAGGGCUUUGUAUUCUGCAGGCUUUUGCUUUCUAUCUCCAAAGCAAUGGGGAGCUAGUUAUGGGAUUUAAUGAGGGAAGUAACUUAGGAGGGUUGCAAUGUAGAGAGAGAGUUUUAGGGGGCAAGAGACUAAUGCGGGGGGACCAGUUAACAAGCUGUGUCAAAAGUCAAGAUGAGAAGUUCUCGAAUUUUAAUGAGUUGCCUGGGGAUCCUGUUAGAAAUGCAGAUUCUGAUUCAGGAGGUCUGGGGUGGGGCCAGAGAUUCUGCAUUUAUUACCCAAGAGUUGUGUACUGACUUGUUAGUGAUUUCAAAUCUGUAUUUUGAAAGCUUGUUUUGGGCAAAGCUGUUUGUGGUUUGAACUUGUUUUGGAUAACUAGUUUUGAUGAAGUUUCACCAGCAACUCAAGAGCAUUCGGUCUGGGCAAGGCUACUCUUUGCUGAUCUAAAUAGCUCUCCGAAGAUCUGGAGACACUUGCUCCUGGUGUGGCCAUGCUACUCUUGGUUAGCACUGGUGUUAAACAAUGCAGCAGUCUCAGGAAGAGAUGGGACAUCUGUUCCUGCCUUGGCGAGGCUACUCCUCGUAGGCAGUGGCACAAGCUGUGUAACCAUCCCUGGAGUAAUAACUUUCAGAGAAGCCCACCUUGCCUGCCAACACUGGCACCAUUGCCCACCAGCUAUGUGCCCCAGGAGUGAAGGACCUAAGCUAGCAGCUGAUAAGCCCAGCUUUUGGUUGGAAAGGUUGACGCUACUGAGAACCAACUCGUAGAAAGGUACACCUCAACUCAGUUUGGACUUUACUUCUUUCAUCCCCCUUUGCCUGGAACAGUAGUGUAAUUAAUUUAUCAUUGGUUUGGAGUAUGUUAUUUUUUAUUGACUUAUUAAGAGACAUUAUCCUGUAUGCCACUGGCUUGUGAAAAAAUUAUAACUAGAAAUUAUAAUUCCUGUAGCAAGCUUGUGUUAAAUAAAUUAUUGGCAAAGACAA